This 206-nucleotide long non-coding RNA is filed under the name Mytilus galloprovincialis (Mediterranean mussel). The record is from RNAcentral. Lineage: Eukaryota; Metazoa; Mollusca; Bivalvia; Mytilida; Mytilidae.
CAUUGAGAAACUAUGUUUUAAAAAAUUCUCAUAAAUUCAAAAUGCCUAAAGCGAACUCGAGUAGUUAAACAAUACCUACGGCAAAGAGUGAAGACAAGUCGUAGUAAUACUGCCAUUCAUUUUAGUGCAAUUUUUCAGUAUAUAAAUACUUAAUCAAGUUCUCUUUAAUUUUAUAAUUAACGAAAACAUUUAAUAAACAAUUCAAC